RNAcentral lists this ribosomal RNA (467 nucleotides) under uncultured bacterium. RNAcentral describes it as "partial 16S ribosomal RNA". It matches the Rfam family "Bacterial small subunit ribosomal RNA", at positions 28 to 506 of the family's 1533-position model. The record is from RNAcentral.
GACGAACGCUGGCGGCGUGCUUAACACAUGCAAGUCGAACGGAAAGGCCCUGCUUUUGUGGGGUGCUCGAGUGGCGAACGGGUGAGUAACACGUGAGUAACCUGCCCUUGACUUUGGGAUAACUUCAGGAAACUGGGGCUAAUACCGGAUAGGAGCUCCUGCUGCAUGGUGGGGGUUGGAAAGUUUCGGCGGUUGGGGAUGGACUCGCGGCUUAUCAGCUUGUUGGUGGGGUAGUGGCUUACCAAGGCUUUGACGGGUAGCCGGCCUGAGAGGGUGACCGGCCACAUUGGGACUGAGAUACGGCCCAGACUCCUACGGGAGGCAGCAGUGGGGAAUAUUGCACAAUGGGCGGAAGCCUGAUGCAGCAACGCCGCGUGCGGGAUGACGGCCUUCGGAUUGUAAACCGCUUUCGCCUGUGACGAAGCGUGAGUGACGGUAAUGGGUAAAGAAACACCGGCGAACUACGU